This 505-nucleotide ribosomal RNA is filed under the name uncultured bacterium. Its description in RNAcentral is "partial 16S ribosomal RNA". It matches the Rfam family "Bacterial small subunit ribosomal RNA", at positions 29 to 523 of the family's 1533-position model. The record is from RNAcentral.
GUGAACGCUGGCGGUAGGCCUAACACAUGCAAGUCGAACGGCAGCACUGAGGAGCUUGCUCCUUGGGUGGCGAGUGGCGGACGGGUGAGGAAUACAUCGGAAUCUACUCUUUCGUGGGGGAUAACGUAGGGAAACUUACGCUAAUACCGCAUACGACCUUCGGGUGAAAGCAGGGGAUCGCAAGACCUUGCGCGAUUGAAUGAGCCGAUGUCGGAUUAGCUAGUUGGCGGGGUAAAGGCCCACCAAGGCGACGAUCCGUAGCCGGUCUGAGCGGAGGAUAAGCCACACUGGAGCUGAGACACGGUCCAGACUCCUACGGGGGGCAGCAGUGGGGAAUAUUGGACAAUGGGCGCAAGCCUGAUCCAGCCAUACCGCGUGGGUGAAGAAGGCCUUCGGGUUGUAAAGCCCUUUUGUUGGGAAAGAAAAGCACACGGUUAAUACCCGAGUGUUCUGACGGUACCCAAAGAAUAAGCACCGGCUAACUUCGUGCCAGCAGCCGCCGUAA